Molecule: transfer RNA, 67 nt
Filed under: Marmota monax (woodchuck)
Lineage: Eukaryota; Metazoa; Chordata; Mammalia; Rodentia; Sciuridae
Description: tRNA.Ala
Rfam family: tRNA
About the family: Transfer RNA (tRNA) molecules are approximately 80 nucleotides in length. Their secondary structure includes four short double-helical elements and three loops (D, anti-codon, and T loops).
Source: RNAcentral
GAGUGUAGCUCAGUGGUAGAGCAUAUGCUUAGCAAGCAUGAGGCCCUGGGUUCAAUCCCCAGCACCA